Molecule: ribosomal RNA, 442 nt
Filed under: uncultured bacterium
Lineage: Bacteria
Description: partial 16S ribosomal RNA
Rfam family: Bacterial small subunit ribosomal RNA
Source: RNAcentral
CCUACGGGUGUCAGCAGUGGGGACUAUUGGGCACUGGGCGCACGCCUGACCCAGCACCGCCGCGUGAAGGAAGAAGGCUUUCGGGUUGUAAACUUCUUUUAGGAGGGAAGAGCAGAAGACGGUACAUCUUGAAUAAGACACGGCUAACUACGUGCCAGCAGCCGCGGUAAUACGUAGGUGGCAAGCGUUGUCCGGAGUUACUGGGUGUAAAGGGCGUGCAGCCGGGAAGACAAGUCAGAUGUGAAAUCCCGCGGCGCAACCGCGGACCUGCAUUUGAAACUGUUUUUCUUGAGUACCGGAGAGGUCAUCGGAAUUCCUUGUGUAGCGGGGAAAUGCGUAGAUAUAAGGAAGAACACCAGUGGCGAAGGCGGAUGACUGGACGGCAACUGACGGUGAGGCGCGAAAGCGAGGGGAGCAAACAGGAUUAGAUACCCGGGUAGUC